Molecule: ribosomal RNA, 165 nt
Filed under: uncultured bacterium
Lineage: Bacteria
Description: partial 16S ribosomal RNA
Source: RNAcentral
CCCCAGGUCUAACCAUGCAAGUCGCCUUUGAACCAACUCGUCCGCCCCCAGCCUUACCUCCUGCAAGUCGCGUGAAGGAAGAAGGAUUUAUGGUUGUAAACUUCUUUUGCAGGGGAAUAAAGUGCAGGACGUGUCCUUUUUGUAGUACCUCGAUAAGUACGAAGC